UUCAUUCAUUCAUUUAUUCAAUAACUACACCUUAAGCUUUGCCACUGUGCUCAGUGCUGUAGAAGAUGCAAAGAUGAAAAGAGACACAGCUCUGUCUCCUAUCACCUAGUAGGGAAGGAGAGAAACCAUGUUUAUAAGUAAACAUGUAAGAUAAUUUAGUAAGAGCCAUAAGAGAAGUAAAGACAAAUUCUAUGAGAGUGUAAGGGGUGGGAUUUUGUAGCUAGAAGGAUCAAGGAAGACUCAUAGAGGAGUCUUUGGGCUGGGGAUGAGUGGGGGGCAAUUCCAGACAGAGAGGGAACAGCAUCAGCAAAGGCACAGAGGGAGAAAGUUUGAAUCUGCAGUGAACAGUGAGUAGUUUCGUAUGACUUGGGUAUAGAGUGCAUAAAGGGAAGAGUGAGUAAAAAAUAAGAUUAAGAAUAAAAGUUGGAUAUGUAUUUUGGAGGAUCUUGAAUAUUUAGCUAAGGAGUUAAGAUUUUAUUUCAACUGCUGUGUGACAACGUCAGAGCAGAGAGUUGACAUGGCAUCAGAGGGUCACAUGGACUGGAAGAAGUGGGAUGGGUUGUUAGUCAAUCACAGACAUGAGCCAUAGAGAUCAUCUGAUGCUAUGGCCAUCUACAGGGAGGAAGCCCAAGCCCAGAGGUGAAAUGACUGACCGGAGGGCACUCAGUAACUAGUGACCGAGCUGGAAUGGCAACUCCAAGAAUAUUUUCCAACGGCCAACAACUUUAAAGGAGGAUCACUAAAUGCUAAACAACGUUAAUGUUUAAAGGAAACACUAAACAAUGAUGGAGCAGAAGAUAAAAUGAAAAGAAUUUAGUGGGUCCUCCUCUCACACUGGGAUUUUCUUAUAGGACUCUUAGUCAUUCAAAUCGUCCAGACAGUUGCCAGUCACAGAUUUGAGCUGUGGAGACCAUCCAGGGCUGUCCAUCUACAGGGAGGAGGCCCAGGAUACUGGAAAGGAACCUAAAACGUCUCCUGAAAGAGGAAACCAGAAGCAGAUCAUGUGAGUGCAGUUCAUAUAGAUUAUCAUCUCAAAACACCAUGGUUGUGCUAAAAGGCCGAGAGGGAAAAUGAUCAAAUAAAGCCCAUAUUUCAGAUGAAGAAAAUGAGACAGAAAAUACACGAUUUGCUUCCGGCACUAAGAUGAGUCAAAGAGAAACCAGUGAGAGAGACAUGAACUUAGGCUCUGACCUUUAGAAAGAAGAAAAACAAUUUUAUCAUCACCCUUCCCCCACUUCAAUCCUGGAUCUUUGUGAGAACAAGGAAGGAAAUUGUUAUUCCCCCUAGAAGCAGAGGAAACAUCAGCAACUGGAAGUAACUGUUUAAAAAUGUUGCUUUUUGGUGAAGGACAAAAGCACAAGGUGGGAAGAGCCCAACUCUGAAACACGGCAGCACCUCUCACACAUUCUCUCCUCUAACCCCCCCUCAGCCCCGCGAGCCGGAUCAUCACCCCCAUUUGUCAGAUGAGGACCUGAGGGUCAGAGGUUAGACGGCUUGCCAAGGACAUACAGCUAAGUGAGGAGGCCGGAAUUUCAAACCGGACCUGCCUGAUUCUCAAGGCAGGACGGUGACCUCUUGGCAGCCCUGCCUCUAUGCCAUCGGCAAAGCCUGCUUCCGUAAGAGUGCCACUCUGUCUCAUUUCCGGUGUUUCCUAACAAGCCCCUCAGUGUGCCUCAUCAUGGAUACAGGUGGGAGAACUGGUCUUGGGCUGUGACAGAGGCAUCCGACCUGGAGUCUCCCUGGGGGAUCCCCUAAGUCCUAACAGUGCUGGAACAUGAACAGGAUCUUUCUGUGGAGCCGGUCAGUACCUCACAAAGUGCUGUCAAGGUCCUGGUCCUGGUCCUGGUCCUGGUCCUGGUCCUGGUCCUGGUCCUGGGCGUGCACCUACCUCGGCCCUCCCCUGGGCCUCUCAUGGAACACAGAGUCUGGCAGUCCCGGCACAGGUGGACGGCCACGGUUCGGACACGAUAUUUUGGUUUUAUUCUUUCACAAACACAACUGGGCAAGGCAUCACUGUCAGACUUAAAAAGAAAAAUUUAAGAACUUUUUUAGUAUUACAAUGUUGAAUUUAAAAAUACUUCUUAUGGUGUUGUAUCUAAAAAGCCAAUUUAUUUUCACCAAAGGGAGGCCCUCUGGAGGCAAGAGCCGUUUUUUAAACUCUUCCCCCUGUACAAAAAUAUUUUGGGAGUUAUAUGGAUAUGCAGUACAGAUACU
Microcebus murinus (gray mouse lemur) is the source of this 2214-nucleotide non-coding RNA. Lineage: Eukaryota; Metazoa; Chordata; Mammalia; Primates; Cheirogaleidae. The record is from RefSeq and is a predicted model, not a curated record.